AACGCUGGCGGCGUGCCUAACACAUGCAAGUCGAACGAGAAAGUGGAGCAAUCCAUGAGUAAAGUGGCGACCGGGUGAGUAACACGUGACUAACCUACCUUCGAGUGGGGGAUAACCUCGGGAAACCGGGGCUAAUACCGCAUAAUAUCUUCGGGAUGAGAAGCCGAAGAUCAAAGGAGCAAUUCGCUGGAAGAGGGAGUCGCGGCUGAUUAGCUAGUUGGCGGGGUAAUGGCCCACCAAGGCUUUGAUCGGUAGCCGGCCUGAGAGGGCGCACGGCCACACUGGAACUGAAACACGGUCCAGACUCCUACGGGAGGCAGCAGUGGGGAAUUUUGCGCAAUGGGGGAAACCCUGACGCAGCAACGCCGCGUGGAGGAUGAAGUCCCUUGGGACGUAAACUCCUUUCGACCCGGACGAUAAUGACGGUACGGGUGGAAGAAGCCCCGGCUAACUACGUGCCAGCAGCCGCGGUAACACGUAGGGGGCAAGCGUUGUCCGGAUUUACUGGGCGUAAAGCGCGCGUAGGCGGCUUGUUAGGUUCCAUCGUGAAAGGCAGGGGCUCAACCCCUGGACUGCGAGGAAAACCGGCAGGCUUGAGAGAGGCAGAGGAAGGUGGAAUGGCUGGUGGAGCGGUGAAAUGCGUAGAGAUCAGCCGGAACACCCAAGGCGAAGGCAGCCUUCUGGGCCUCAUCUGACGCUGUGGCGCGAAAGCGUGGGGAGCGAACGGGAUUAGAUACCCCGGUAGUCCACGCCGUAAACGAUGGUCACUAGGUGUGGGGGGUAUCGACCCCCUCCGUGCCGGAGCUAACGCGAUAAGUGACCCGCCUGGGGAGUACGGCCGCAAGGUUGAAACUCAAAGGAAUUGACGGGGGCCCGCACAAGCGGUGGAGCAUGUGGAUUAAUUCGUCAUUAACCGAAGAACCUUACCAGGGCUUGACAUCCCGCGCUAGCCGGUGAAAGCCGGUGUUCCUCUGGGCAACCAGGGGACGCGGAGACAGGUGUUGCAUGGCUGUCGUCAGCUCGUGUCGUGAGAUGUUGGGUUAAGUCCCGCAACGAGCGCAACCCUCACGGCCGGUUGCCAUCAGGUAAAGCUGGGCACUUUGGCCGAACUGCCCCGGCAACGGGGAGGAAGGUGAGGAUGACGUCAAGUCGGCAUGGCCCGUAUGUCCUGGGCUUCACACAUGCUACAAUGGGGUGGACAGAGGGCUGCAAACCCGUGAGGGGGAGCCAAUCCCAAAAACCACUCCUCAGUUCGGAUUGGAGGCUGCAACUCGCCUCCAUGAAGUCGGAAUCGCUAGUAACCGCCGGUCAGCUAUACGGCGGUGAAUACGUACCCGGGCCUUGUACACACCGCCCGUCACGUCACCUGAGUCUGCUGCACCCGAAGUCGCCGGCCCAACCCGCAAGGGAGGGAGGCGCCUAAGGUGUGGCCGGUAAGGG
RNAcentral lists this ribosomal RNA (1440 nucleotides) under uncultured bacterium. RNAcentral's name for it is "16S ribosomal RNA". It matches the Rfam family "Bacterial small subunit ribosomal RNA". The record is from RNAcentral.